RNAcentral lists this long non-coding RNA (388 nucleotides) under Homo sapiens (human). RNAcentral describes it as "LHRI_LNC1254.1". Lineage: Eukaryota; Metazoa; Chordata; Mammalia; Primates; Hominidae. The record is from RNAcentral.
GCCGUGACCUGGGGUCCCUGACCCCGCGACCCCGAGAGGCCCAUGUCACCUGCUGGUAGUCGGUGUCCUCGGGCCGGAACUGGCUGCUAGUGGCCUCCCAGCUCAGGUCGAAGUGGGGCAGCCGGUGCAGGAGGCUCACCCACCAGGGCGCCGCGUAGCUGACCCCGGCCAUGGCGGGGCCCGGCCGCCUCCGGAUGCGCGCGGCCUGCGCGGGGCUCCCUUGCUGGCCCGGGGCGCGGGCUUCAGGGACCCGUCGACCCCCGCCUGGCCGCCCGCAUCAUCCGCGCGCUCCUGGGCCCGGCCCGGCCCGGCUCGGCCCGGCUCGGCUGCGCUCGGCUCCGCUCGGCCGCCCGCGCCCGCCGCCUCUUUGUUCGCCGCCGCCGCCGCC